This 709-nucleotide long non-coding RNA is filed under the name Pongo abelii (Sumatran orangutan). Its description in RNAcentral is "lincRNA". The record is from RNAcentral. Lineage: Eukaryota; Metazoa; Chordata; Mammalia; Primates; Hominidae.
AGGUAACCACUAUUAGAGCCUGGUGUGUAUCUUUCAGAGGAUAGUUUCUUUGUGAUUGUGAGUAGCUUAGCUGUUGAGCAAGCCAUUGGAUACGAGACUAACCUUACAGAAAGGUCAAUCCUGGAUGGGUAGGAUGUCAUCAACAUAUGAGGCAUGGUUAAAAACCAUGAAUGUGGAUGAGAUCCUCCUGGAGGAUCACAUAAAGAGGUCAGUGCACUGUGACCUGACUUACGGGGAUUACUAUAUGGAAGCUGCAUACAAAGAUCAGAGGUCCAGCAGGGAAAGGGGGGACAAUGAGUCUUGGGUGGAAAUUCUGACAACACAGGAUUAAAACACCGAGGAUGUGCCUUUACAUCGAGAAAGUGCUGAAUAAACAUCCUGAAGGAGUGGAAAUGAACAGUGUCCUGUAACCCUCAGGUGAGACUAGAGUCAGAAUGCAGGCUUUUCUCAUUUGAAAUCUAUAUGCCACAGAGAGGAUCCAGAGAGCCCAUCUUCAGUCAGUUAUCUGUAUUUGCAUGUCAACUACAGCAUCAAGAAGCAUAGGCAUGGAUACUAAGGACCCCCUCUGUACACCAAAGCCAGUCCAAAGGACAGUGUGUCACUGUGAACUGUAAAUUCAUCUCUCUUCUUCAUCUUUUUUCUACCUACUUUAUGCUUUAUCUCUAAGUUGAGGCUGUUUAUGGCCUCAUCCUCAAUUACCUUGUCCCUC